RNAcentral lists this ribosomal RNA (253 nucleotides) under uncultured bacterium. RNAcentral describes it as "partial 16S ribosomal RNA". It matches the Rfam family "Bacterial small subunit ribosomal RNA", at positions 524 to 776 of the family's 1533-position model. The record is from RNAcentral.
UACGUAGGUGGCAAGCGUUGUUCGGAUUUACUGGGCGUAAAGGGCGCGUAGGCGGCGUGGUAAGUCACUUGUGAAAUCUCUGAGCUUAACUCAGAACGGCCAAGUGAUACUGCUGUGCUAGAGUGCAGAAGGGGCAAUCGGAAUUCUUGGUGUAGCGGUGAAAUGCGUAGAUAUCAAGAGGAACACCUGAGGUGAAGACGGGUUGCUGGGCUGACACUGACGCUGAGGCGCGAAAGCCAGGGGAGCAAACGGG